GCUGGAGUUGGGUAUUUCCCUUCUCCCAGUUCAGUUAGGCUCUGAUAAUACCUCAGCAGGUUAGGUUCUGGUUAACUAGUUUCUCCUGAGGGCAGGCCUUGUUAAGAAGAACAGAAUGCUCUAGCGUAUUUCAAAAUGGUUCCUUUCGCCUCCUCCUGCCAGAAGCACAGAGGGAUUUGUCUCUGAUAUUCACCGUGAGAACAUGGCCAAAAUCCUGCAGAGCAACAUCAACCCAUAUGGAGCUGCUCAUUAGCCUGGAUUCUGGACUCAAGAUACUGAAGAGCUGAGUGCCAGCUGAUCUAUAAUGGGCAUGCAAUAAAUGAUCCAGAAGAGAGAAUAGACAAUCAUGCAAGAGAAAGAAGCAAUCACAGAAAUGGCUUGUGUAGGAGAGAAGAGAUGGAAUCUA
Molecule: long non-coding RNA, 406 nt
Filed under: Equus caballus (horse)
Lineage: Eukaryota; Metazoa; Chordata; Mammalia; Perissodactyla; Equidae
Description: lncRNA (ENSECAG00000055364.1)
Source: RNAcentral